This 157-nucleotide small RNA is filed under the name [Lactobacillus] rogosae. RNAcentral's name for it is "Lactobacillus rogosae Clostridiales-1 RNA". It matches the Rfam family "Clostridiales-1 RNA". The record is from RNAcentral. Lineage: Bacteria; Bacillati; Bacillota; Clostridia; Lachnospirales; Lachnospiraceae.
UGAUGUAAGGGUCAAAAGGUCAAAGAGUCAUUCGUGCUUGCACGAUAAGACUCUUUGACCUUUUGACUCGCUUAACACCGAAUAUGGUUUUUUAUGAAAGGUUGAGGUGUUAUAGGAUUGUGUAGUAAUGUAGCAAUAUGGACAAUCUGUUAUAUAA